RNAcentral lists this ribosomal RNA (1398 nucleotides) under Aeromonas jandaei. RNAcentral describes it as "partial 23S ribosomal RNA". It matches the Rfam family "Bacterial large subunit ribosomal RNA", at positions 760 to 2145 of the family's 2925-position model. Lineage: Bacteria; Pseudomonadati; Pseudomonadota; Gammaproteobacteria; Aeromonadales; Aeromonadaceae. The record is from RNAcentral.
CAUCAACUGGAGGACCGAACCCACUAACGUUGCAAAGUUAGGGGAUGACCUGUGGCUGGGGGUGAAAGGCCAAUCAAACUCGGAGAUAGCUGGUUCUCCCCGAAAGCUAUUUAGGUAGCGCCUCGGACGAAUACUACUGGGGGUAGAGCACUGUUUGGGCUAGGGGGUCAUCCCGACUUACCAACCCCAUGCAAACUCCGAAUACCAGUAAGUACUAUCCGGGAGACACACGGCGGGUGCUAACGUCCGUCGUGAAGAGGGAAACAACCCAGACCGCCGGCUAAGGUCCCAAAGUUCUGGUUAAGUGGGAAACGAUGUGGGAAGGCUCAGACAGCUAGGAUGUUGGCUUAGAAGCAGCCAUCAUUUAAAGAAAGCGUAAUAGCUCACUAGUCGAGUCGGCCUGCGCGGAAGAUGUAACGGGGCUCAAACCAGGCACCGAAGCCGCGGAUUUGCACUUAGUGCAAGUGGUAGGGGAGCGUUCUGUAAGUCUGCGAAGGUGUAUCGAGAGGUAUGCUGGAGAUAUCAGAAGUGCGAAUGCUGACGUAAGUAACGAUAAAGGGGGUGAAAAGCCUCCUCGCCGGAAGACCAAGGGUUCCUGUCCAACGUUAAUCGGGGCAGGGUGAGUCGACCCCUAAGGUGAGGCCGAAAGGCGUAAUCGAUGGGAAGCAGGUUAAUAUUCCUGCACGACUUGUAAUUGCGAUGGGGGGACGGAGAAGGCUAGGUGGGCCAGGCGACGGUUGUCCUGGUGAAAGUGCGUAGGCGGUACCUUUAGGUAAAUCCGGAGGUGCAACGCUGAGACACGAGACGAACACACUACGGUGUGGAAGCCAUUGAUGCCCUGCUUCCAGGAAAAGCCUCUAAGCUUCAGAUUACAAGUCAUCGUACCCCAAACCGACACAGGUGGUCGGGUAGAGAAUACCAAGGCGCUUGAGAGAACUCGGGUGAAGGAACUAGGCAAAAUAGUACCGUAACUUCGGGAGAAGGUACGCUCUUGUUGGUGAAGUCCCUUGCGGAUGGAGCUGACGGGAGUCGCAGUGACCAGAUGGCUGGGACUGUUUAUCAAAAACACAGCACUCUGCAAACACGAAAGUGGACGUAUAGGGUGUGACACCUGCCCGGUGCCGGAAGGUUAAUUGAUGGGGUUAGCGCAAGCGAAGCUCUUGAUCGAAGCCCCGGUAAACGGCGGCCGUAACUAUAACGGUCCUAAGGUAGCGAAAUUCCUUGUCGGGUAAGUUCCGACCUGCACGAAUGGUGUAACCAUGGCCAUGCUGUCUCCACCCGAGACUCAGUGAAAUCGAAUUCGCCGUGAAGAUGCGGUGUACCCGCGGCUAGACGGAAAGACCCCGUGAACCUUUACUACAGCUUGGCACUGAACAUUGAACCUACAUGUGUAGGAUA